CCUACGGGUCGCAGCAGUGGGGAAUAUUGCACAAUGGGCGCAAGCCUGAUGCAGCCAUGCCGCGUGUAUGAAGAAGGCCUUCGGGUUGUAAAGUACUUUCAGCGAGGAGGAAGGCGUUAAGGUUAAUAACCUUAGCGAUUGACGUUACUCGCAGAAGAAGCACCGGCUAACUCCGUGCCAGCAGCCGCGGUAAUACGGAGGGUGCAAGCGUUAAUCGGAAUUACUGGGCGUAAAGCGCACGCAGGCGGUCUGUCAAGUCGGAUGUGAAAGCCCCGGGCUCAACCUGGGAACUGCAUUCGAAACUGGCAGGCUAGAGUCUUGUAGAGGGGGGGUAGAAUUCCGGGUGUAGCGGUGAAAUGCGUAGAGAUCUGGAGGAAUACCGGUGGCGAAGGCGGCCCCCUGGACAAAGACUGACACUCAGGUGCGAGAGCGUGGGGAGCAAACAGGAUUAGAUACCCCUGUAGUC
RNAcentral lists this ribosomal RNA (466 nucleotides) under uncultured bacterium. Its description in RNAcentral is "bacterial SSU rRNA". It matches the Rfam family "Bacterial small subunit ribosomal RNA", at positions 338 to 795 of the family's 1533-position model. The record is from RNAcentral.